RNAcentral lists this ribosomal RNA (301 nucleotides) under uncultured bacterium. RNAcentral describes it as "partial 16S ribosomal RNA". It matches the Rfam family "Bacterial small subunit ribosomal RNA", at positions 509 to 808 of the family's 1533-position model. The record is from RNAcentral.
CAGUAGCCGCGGUAAUACGUAGGGUGCAAGCGUUAAUCGGAAUUACUGGGCGUAAAGCGUGCGCAGGCGGUUUUGUAAGACAGAGGUGAAAUCCCCGGGCUCAACCUGGGAACUGCCUUUGUGACUGCAAGGCUAGAGUACGGCAGAGGGGGAUGGAAUUCCGCGUGUAGCAGUGAAAUGCGUAGAUAUGCGGAGGAACACCGAUGGCGAAGGCAAUCCCCUGGGCCUGUACUGACGCUCAUGCACGAAAGCGUGGGGGCAAACAGGAUUAGAGACCCCUGUAGUCCCUGUCUCUUAUACA